RNAcentral lists this transfer RNA (75 nucleotides) under Candidatus Saccharimonadota bacterium. RNAcentral describes it as "tRNA-Gly". It matches the Rfam family "tRNA". From Rfam's summary of the family: Transfer RNA (tRNA) molecules are approximately 80 nucleotides in length. Their secondary structure includes four short double-helical elements and three loops (D, anti-codon, and T loops). Further hydrogen bonds mediate the characteristic L-shaped molecular structure. tRNAs have two regions of fundamental functional importance: the anti-codon, which is responsible for specific mRNA codon recognition, and the 3' end, to which the tRNAs corresponding amino acid is attached (by aminoacyl-tRNA synthetases). tRNAs cope with the degeneracy of the genetic code in two manners: having more than one tRNA (with a specific anti-codon) for a particular amino acid; and 'wobble' base-pairing, i.e. permitting non-standard base-pairing at the 3rd anti-codon position. Lineage: Bacteria; Candidatus Saccharimonadota. The record is from RNAcentral. RNAcentral also lists the same sequence under 1 other name.
GCGGGUAUCGUAUAGUGGUUAAUAUGCAACCUUCCCAAGGUUGAGAGCAGAGUUCGAUUCUCUGUACCCGCACCA